Long non-coding RNA from Nyctereutes procyonoides (raccoon dog), 6396 nucleotides. RefSeq lists it as uncharacterized. The record is from RefSeq and is a predicted model, not a curated record. The transcript is spliced from 6 exons. NCBI's taxonomy places the organism in Eukaryota, Metazoa, Chordata, Mammalia, Carnivora, Canidae.
GCAGAAGCCAGGUGCAGGACCUGGGGCAGGAGCAGCACUGGGGCAGGAGCUGGGGCAGGAGCCGUGCUGGUGCAGAAGCCAGGUACAGGACCUGGGGCAGGAGCAGCACUGGGGCAGGAGCUGGGGCAGGAGCCGUGCUGGUGCAGAAGCCAGGUGCAGGACCUGGGGCAGGACCUAGGGCAGGAGCAGCGCUGGUGCAGGACCUGGUGCAGCAGCAGCGCUGUCUGGGCCUCCCUCUCACCAAGAAACAGUAUGAUUCUGCCCAGGAGGAAACCGAGGCGGACAAGCACCUCUGAGUUCCAGCCACCAGGAAGGCUCUUGAAUAAGAAUUGACCUCCCCCCCCUCCCCUUCCCGCUCUGCAGGAGGGUGUCCCAGAUCCAAACCAAGAUCCCCAGAAAUUCACUCAACAAACACUUGCCACAAGAGGAGGUGAGGCCGGCUGGCCCCGUUGAUUCCUCGCCCCUGCUGCCCGGAGCCUCAUCCCUGCGCAGUCAGCGAUGCUGCUCUUGCUCGGCGUCCCGGGCCCUGCACACCUCAUCAGUCGCAGAGAUGCCGGAGCUUAAUUAAGCUUGUAAAGCUUUCUGAUUCUCUCAGACGAAAGGUGGCCCACCAGACUCCAACUCCAAUAAAAAAUGGAUGCUUUAACUCCAAAUGAAAAUAUAUUCCUUCGCUGCUUUUUAAAAUCCAUUUACACUGAAAUGAUGGCCAGCAGAUGACCUCUAACACCUGGGGGGAUGAUGCCAGAGAUGAUGAGGACGACGGCAAUGGCGUAACCUCGUGUUUGUUGAACCUGCCCCACUCCUCCGAACUUCAGUUCAUCUUUAUCCAGAUGCCUAUUCCACGGUUUGGGAGGGGCAGGGGCUGUCCCUCUAUUUCUGAGGGUCCCCAGGGCUUUGAUCCUCAAGCUUGUCCCUCUGCAUCUGCUUCUGGCCUCCCUACUUGUCGCCUUGGCUCUGGCACACAGUCACCCGGCCGCGAAGGUCCGCAUCUGAAUCACUCCACCUGCCCCAAAUGCACUUGGAGCAACUGAACAAAUUUGGACACUUUGCUGACAAUUUGCAGGGCUCCCCAAACUGGGGGGUGGAGGGUGUCACAUCGCUGUGCAAGACUGUCAUCCAUCUGGCUGUCCUUCCCACCUCCUCUGUCCCCCUCUGCCUUUUGUGGAGAAACAGGCAGAUUCGUGUGACCCAGGGCCACUCCCGUCCAGGCGCUCUCUCGGGAGCUCAGCUUCCAGAAGGUCAAGGUUUCCCUUGCAAUCAAGAUGGACAAGGGAUUCCGGUGGACACAGCAUCUCCAGGGUACUUCCGACCUGUAAGGCAGCAGCAUGCUGAGAGCUUUCUGGGCACGUCAGCUUCAAGGCCCGCCCCAUCCUGGCCCAGAGUUGUUAUUCCCCAUUUCACUGAUGGGAAAACCACCGGAGCAUUGUGACAGAUUUCAUUUAUUUAUUCGAUAGAACAAGUGGGGGGAGCACAGAGAGAGAGGGAGAAGCAGACUCCCCACUGAGCAGGGAGCCCGACGACGCGGGGCUCAACCCCAGGACCCCGGGAUCGUGACCUGAGCUGAAGGCAGAUGCUUAACCGACUGAGCCACCUGGGCGCCCCUGGAUUAUUUUCUAAGUGACUUUUUUGAGGUGAGGAGGGAAAUCCUAAAACCACCCAGAGUUGGCAAAGAAGAAAUAGACACGAAAAUGUGCUCAUGGUUCUCUGCUCCCAGGCACGGUACCCUUGCUCCCCCGGGGCAAAGCCAAGCCAACAGGGUGCUUGACCUUGCCAUCUUUCCCCACCAAGAGGGUUAGGGCUCCUGACAGUGCUGCGUGCCCCUUAGGAUCAGUGAGGGAGCUGGAGCAAAUAGAAGUCCCUCCGCCUUGGUUUUCUCAUCUGCCAAAUGGGAUGUUAAUGCUUCCCUCUUGGGGGUACCGUGAGAAUUAGAUUAUGGGAGCAGGUAAAACAGAGUAGGUGAAAAGUACCGAUAGGGUUCCUGGCACGUGGUAGGUAUUCAGUGAGCGUUACAGGCAGCACACCCAGCUGACCACACACCCAGCUGCAGAGACAGGUCUGGGAGGACACAUCUAAGCUGCCAGCAGUGUUACUCCUCGAGGAGGUGUGUGUGGUGGGGAGGAGGCACUUGGACCCUUCACUGUCUACAUUUUUACUUUCUAUGUCCUGGAUAUUGGGAGGAAGCAUGCUGUGUGAGUAUUGAUGGGUGUGUGCGGAGGGUCAAGAUAGAGAAUAACACCAAAUGGGACACUGGUACGCCUCCCGUCUCUGUGUGAUUGUAACACCUGUACCUGCUAUGCUUGGAUCAGUUGAGGGGCCUUGGGUGGCCAGCAACAGAAACUGGUGAAGUCAGGAAGCGAAAACGCGAUUUGGUGGAAGGACAUUGGGCGGAGUCACCAGUGGAAGAACUGGGACCUGGGCACUGGGAAGCAGAGGAGCUAAGGGGACCUGGCUAGGUAAGCAGGAGGACCUUCUCUCAGAGGUACGCAUGCAAGAUGUGUCAGCCCCUGGCACUGCCCAUUCACACUUUUACAGUCCAGGCACGGCGAAUCCGAUUGGCCCAGUUUGGAACAAAGUUUCCACAUUGACUCAUCUCCCUUUUACCGUGGGACAGGGCAGAUGGUCUAUAAAAGGGAGUGCUUCCGGGCUGGACCAUCACCAUCUACUCACUUCUGUAUUGUUUGGUUUUUGCCAAAUUAUCACCUUGUGUUACUCUUUUUUUUUUUUUUUUAAGAUUUUUUAUUUAUGGAAGAGAGAUGGGCAGCCCAGCGGGGCUCAGCGGUUUAGCGCCGCCUUUGGCCCAGGGUGUGAUCCUGGAGACCUGGGAUCGAGUCCCACAUCAGGCUCCCUGCAUGGAGCCUGCUCCUCCCUCUGCCUGUAUCUCUGCCUCUCAUUCUCUCUCUGUGUCUCAUGAAUAAAUAAAUAAAAUCUUAAAAAAAAAAGUCUUUGAAAGAGAGAGAGAAUGCAAGUGAGCAGGGGGAGGGGCAAAGGGAGAGGGAGAGGGAGAGAGAGAAUCUCAAGCAGACUCCAAGCCCAGCGCAAAGCCUGAUGUGGGGCUCGGUCCCACAACCCUGAGACCAUGACCUGAGCCGAAACCAAGAGUCCAUCACUUAACUUACUGAGCCACCCAGACACCCCUACUUUUUAAAUGAUAAUGAGAAAACUAACAAUUAAUUAAGUGGAGUUAUGCUGUACAGUCUCAACAGGACGUGUUUUAUGCAUCUUUUAUCGGGAACCAAUAACAAUAAAACCAAGCAGCAUGAUUCAUCAUUCACGGGCCUAGUGACACAUCACAGGUGACACAUCCGCCUUGGGUCUGAAUGAAUGUUGAUUGUGGUGGCAAACACACCCACACAACGACAACAGUAUUUGUCUUUUUGACUCUCACGAUUAGCAGGUCCCAAGUGUGUAUAGCGAUGCCUCUCAGAUUAGGAAGGGAGUUUGAGACCUUUAUUAUUAGGGCAAAGAAGAGGGAUAGGACAUCUGUGAUUGUUCUAUCAGUAGCUGUUGUUUUAUGGUGGCCGGAAGGCAGGGACCAUGAAGCACAUGGAAGGCAUGCAGGAUAUAUUCCGUGUGUGUGGAGGGGAGAGAGAGAGGGAGGGAGGAAGCAUUUCAUUGCCCCAGGGUAGGAUGAUUUAGCCAGUGUUGUAAGGCAAGCUCAGAUCCAGCCUGCAUUUUCUAUGCUGACCAUCUGUGUUUCCCAGGAAAGCGGCGGCCAGCCAGGGCCUGAGAGCUUUAGGAAAAAGUGAGAAGCAGGAGGACAGCCAGUCCAGGAGGGGCUGGAGGGAUCUUUGUGUCCUUGCGAUGCCUCCUGGCAACACCAGCAGCACGGAGGCCUGCCUUGGCUGCCUGCCCCCUGUGAGCCCCCUUGGGAUCCUUUUCAGGGUUGGAAAAUCCUCUCCCCUGCCACCCACCUGUCCCUUGUGACUUUUUUUCCCCUAGGGAUAGGUGUUGUUGGGGUUGAUGACCAGAAACUACUCAUCUGAAGGCAGAAGCAUCGUCUCUAAAAAACCACAGGUGGACCAGGAACGAGUCCUGCCUCCUGCAUCUGGCUGUGCUGGGCAGCUCCCCUACCCUAACAAGCCCUUUUCGGGGAGGGGGGGGAUAUGUCUAUAAACAGGGAAGGCAGGGUUCGUAAGCUUCAGGGUCCCCCUCAAGCUGGCACGGUUCCUAAAUGGUAGCGCUGCAUUGAAACAUGGGCCAGCGUGUCACCUGGUCACCGGGCCCUCCCAGCUUCUCCACGUUGGGAAGCCAGCUCAGAAGGACCCACGGCCCAGCUCCGCCGCCCGCCCCCGCUGCUCUAGGACCUGGAUGCAGAACUGAAAGCAGUCUCAGCCCUACCGACCGCAAAUUGGGAAUUCUAAUGCAACAUCUUCUCCCCAAGCCAGCGCUGUAAUAACACAAUUUUAAGCCAAGCCUUGGCGUCUAUGUUUUCGGGGGGUGGUUCCAUGAACUUGCCAGGAGCUCCUACCCAGCCAUGGGAGCCCUGUGAAGAGCCCUCCUUCUAAGGCCCCCCACUGGAAGUCGUCUUUCCUUGUCGGCAGCUUCAGAUGCGGGGUGUUCUAACCUCUGAAGUUGUUGGAAUAGGACCAUUAGACCGAACAGUUCUAUUGGAAUUAAAAAUAUUGUGAAUUUUGUGUUAACUGCCUCUGGCCAUAACUGGAAUAGAAAUGACAUUGCUUCAGACGCUACCGUGCACUAAUUAAACCAGCAGAGAAUGAAGCAACAGAAAUACAACGGCAACAAAAAUGGGAGUUGUGGGCUUCAGAACACUCCCCCAGCAGGGCCAUUGAAUUUAAAUUUCCAUUAUUUCGAGUGAAUAUGGCCCUAAGGAACCACGAAAGGAUUUUUUUUUUUUUUAUAUGAUUUUAGGGCAAGUCCCUCUUGCAGUGUAGUCACGUUAGUAAAGCUAUAUACUGUCUUUGUUUGGGGGGAAAAAAAGUUUAAAAAAUAUAUAUACCUAGGAAAGAGUCCAGAAGGAUACAUACCUAACUGUUAUCAGCGGUAGCCUUGGGGAAAGGGAAUUUGAAGAGAAAGAACUUUCCUCUUUUUCUUUUAAAACUGUUUUUAUAUAUUCCUGACGUGCUUAAAUUCAUUAUACUCAGCAUGCAUUUUUGAGCAGACUGGAAUGACCAAGGGAGUGCUUUAGAGCGAAUGAUUCAUGCUUCAUGGCACCAGAUUGUCAAAAGACUUCUUAACAGGUGUCCAUUAAGAAGCUGCCCUGGUGGGCCAGGAAUGAAGAUGCCAAGGGUCUGAGCUUGGCUGGUAGCAGCAGAGAUGGGAAGGAAGUGGGGAGGGGCUUGUACGACAUUAAGAGCCAGGAGCCAGGGUGUGAUCAUUAAUUUUCCGCAGCAAUUUGAAUGGGCUCAGGGGUGCCCCGACAGCUGGUGAAACCUUUUGGGUGUGUCUGUGAGGGUGUCUCUAGAAGAGACUAGCAUUUGAAACUGCGGACCAAGGAAAGAAGAUCCCUCUCACCAACACGGGUGGGCGAACUUUCUUUUACUUGAACUGGGACAUCUGUUUUCUCCUGCUCCUGGACAUUGGUGCUCCUGGUUCUUGGACCUUUGGACUCCAACUAGGACUUAAACCAUUGGCCCCCUGAUGCUCAGGCCUUUGGACCUGGACUGAUUACACCACUGGCUUUCCUGGUUCUCUAGCUUGCAGGUGGCAGAUUUUGGGACUUCUUGACCCAUAAUUCCUGUAAUUCCUGUCAUCUCCUCUCUGUAUGUCCAUCUAGAUCCUACUGCUUCUAUUUCUCUGGAGAACGCUGAGUGAUACUCAGAGGUAUCACCUGAGUUGGCUCAAGGCUUGCAGAGUGGCUCUGUUUGCAUGAGGAUGGAGCCUCGAUACUGAUGCUGAGCUAUGGAGGGACCUAAGGGAGCUGGAUUUGGAAUUCUCAGUGCAUGAGUGACUGAGUGGAUGGAUGGACAGAUGAAUUUUCAUAGAAGGAUCUGGGCUUUUAGAUUUAGGCUGAAUUCCUUGAAAAGCCUAAUUAGGUCCUGAGGUUGGAUAGGUAUUUCUCAUUCUCUUCCCCUGACUUCAGGGAGGGGUAAGGCCUUUCUAAGAGCUGGACCAUUUCUAUGUGACUCCUUGGUCACUUGGAUCUUUUUAUGUUCUAACUAUGAGAAACCCCUUUGGAUGGCUUAGGCAAUAAAAAGAUUGAUUUAAGGCACACGUAAUUAGAAGAUCUUCUGAGUUGGUUCCAGCUGAAGCCUUACCAACGGCAUCAAACACCUGGUCAUCUCUCAAGUGUUGUGUUCUGCUCUGCGUACAUCAGUUUGGCUUCCCAUGGUGGCAAAAUGGAGGCAGCAGUUCCAGGUUUUACCUCUACCUUACCUAGAGGAAGACAGUUUUUUUCCCCCUAGAAGUUCCCUGAAGAAUUUCCCCUCAAUCCUCAUU